AAGAGCACAAGAUAGAGCGUGAUAGGCGGAAGUGGAAGAUAGAGGACGAGCAGAGAGAGUUGGUCUUGAGGGAACAAAAAACAACAUUGUGGGAAAAAAAUAUAGCGAUUUUGGAAAUUGAUCUAAGUAAGUUAACUCCAUGGAAAAAGAACAUUGCCAAACGUCGACAAAAUAACAUCUAUAUUAGGGAAGCUGGUAGUGAUGAUGGUGGUGG
Molecule: long non-coding RNA, 214 nt
Filed under: Linum usitatissimum (flax)
Lineage: Eukaryota; Viridiplantae; Streptophyta; Magnoliopsida; Malpighiales; Linaceae
Description: long non-coding RNA (LUSI_LNC008271)
Source: RNAcentral